GCCGAAGUGGUGGAAUUUGGUAGACACGCAUGGUUGAGGGCCAUGUGAGCCUAACUCGCUCGUGGGGGUUCGAGUCCCCCCUUCGGCA
This 88-nucleotide transfer RNA is filed under the name Candidatus Aminicenantota bacterium. RNAcentral describes it as "tRNA-Leu". It matches the Rfam family "tRNA". From Rfam's summary of the family: Transfer RNA (tRNA) molecules are approximately 80 nucleotides in length. Lineage: Bacteria; Candidatus Aminicenantota. The record is from RNAcentral. RNAcentral also lists the same sequence under 1 other name.